GAAAGGAGCUUGCUCCUGGAUUCAGCGGCGGACGGGUGAGUAAUGCCUAGGAAUCUGCCUGGUAGUGGGGGACAACGUUUCGAAAGGAACGCUAAUACCGCAUACGUCCUACGGGAGAAAGCAGGGGACCUUCGGGCCUUGCGCUAUCAGAUGAGCCUAGGUCGGAUUAGCUAGUUGGUGAGGUAAUGGCUCACCAAGGCGACGAUCCGUAACUGGUCUGAGAGGAUGAUCAGUCACACUGGAACUGAGACACGGUCCAGACUCCUACGGGAGGCAGCAGUGGGGAAUAUUGGACAAUGGGCGAAAGCCUGAUCCAGCCAUGCCGCGUGUGUGAAGAAGGUCUUCGGAUUGUAAAGCACUUUAAGUUGGGAGGAAGGGCAGUAAAUUAAUACUUUGCUGUUUUGACGUUACCGACAGAAUAAGCACCGGCUAACUCUUUGCCAACAGCCGCGGUAAUACAGAGGGUGCAAGCGUUAAUCGGAAUUACUGGGCGUAAAGCGCGCGUA
RNAcentral lists this ribosomal RNA (506 nucleotides) under Pseudomonas putida. RNAcentral's name for it is "bacterial SSU rRNA". It matches the Rfam family "Bacterial small subunit ribosomal RNA", at positions 71 to 573 of the family's 1533-position model. Lineage: Bacteria; Pseudomonadati; Pseudomonadota; Gammaproteobacteria; Pseudomonadales; Pseudomonadaceae. The record is from RNAcentral.